AGUGAACGCUGGCGGUAGGCCUAACACAUGCAAGUCGAACGGCAGCACAGUAAGAGCUUGCUCUUACGGGUGGCGAGUGGCGGACGGGUGAGGAAUACAUCGGAAUCUACUUUUUCGUGGGGGAUAACGUAGGGAAACUUACGCUAAUACCGCAUACGACCUACGGGUGAAAGCAGGGGAUCUUCGGACCUUGCGCGAUUGAAUGGGCCGAUGUCGGAUUAGCUAGUUGGCGGGGUAAAGGCCCACCAAGGCGACGAUCCGUAGCUGGUCUGAGAGGAUGAUCAGCCACACUGGAACUGAGACACGGUCCAGACUCCUACGGGAGGCAGCAGUGGGGAAUAUUGGACAAUGGGCGCAAGCCUGAUCCAGCCAUACCGCGUGGGUGAAGAAGGCCUUCGGGUUGUAGAGCCCUUUUGUUGGGAAAGAAAAGCAGCAGGUUAAUACCCCGCUGUUCUGACGGUACCCAAAGAAUAAGCACCGGCUAACUUCGUG
Molecule: ribosomal RNA, 492 nt
Filed under: uncultured bacterium
Lineage: Bacteria
Description: partial 16S ribosomal RNA
Rfam family: Bacterial small subunit ribosomal RNA
Source: RNAcentral